CAAUAGCGUAUAUUAAAGUUGUUGCGGUUAAAAAGCUCGUAGUUGGAUUUCUGCCGAGGACGUCCGGUCCGCCCUCUGGGUGAGUACAUGGCACGGCCUGGGCAUCUUCUUGGGGAACGUAUCUGCACUUGACUGUGUGGUGCGGUAUCCAGGACUUUACUUGAGGAAAUUAGAGUGUUCACGGCAGGCUUUCGCCUUGAAUACAUUAGCAUGGAAUAAUAAUAUAGGACCUUGGUUUUAUUUUGUUGGUUUCUAGAACUAAGGUAAUGAUUAAUAGGAUAAUUGGGGGCAUUCGUAUUAACGCGUCAGAGGUGGAAUUCUUGGAUUGCGUUACGACGAACUACUGCGAAAGCAUUUGCCAAGGAUGUUUUUCAUUGAUCAAGAACGAAAGUAUGGGGAUCGAAGACGAUCAGAU
Molecule: ribosomal RNA, 415 nt
Filed under: uncultured eukaryote
Lineage: Eukaryota
Description: SSU rRNA
Rfam family: Eukaryotic small subunit ribosomal RNA
Source: RNAcentral